RNAcentral lists this ribosomal RNA (253 nucleotides) under uncultured bacterium. RNAcentral's name for it is "partial 16S ribosomal RNA". It matches the Rfam family "Bacterial small subunit ribosomal RNA", at positions 524 to 776 of the family's 1533-position model. The record is from RNAcentral.
UACGAAGGGGGCUAGCGUUGCUCGGAAUCACUGGGCGUAAAGCGCACGUAGGCGGCUUUCUAAGUCAGGGGUGAAAUCCUGGAGCUCAACUCCAGAACUGCCUUUGAUACUGGCGAUCUCGAGUCCGGGAGAGGUGAGUGGAACUGCGAGUGUAGAGGUGAAAUUCGUAGAUAUUCGCAAGAACACCAGUGGCGAAGGCGGCUCACUGGCCCGGUACUGACGCUGAGGUGCGAAAGCCAGGGGAGCAAACGGG